AGUCAUAUGCUUGUCUCAAAGAUUAAGCCAUGCAUGUCUAAGUUCAAGCGAAAAUAAAGUGAAACCGCGAAUGGCUCAUUACAUCAGUUAUGGUUCCUUAGAUCGCACUUACUACUUGGAUAACUGUGGUAAUUCUAGAGCUAAUACAUGCGCUGGGCCCCAACCCUCGUGGAAGGGGCGCUUUUAUUAGAUCAAAGCCAAUCGGGUCUUCGGGCUCGUUUUGUUGGUGACUCUGAAUAACUUUGCUGAUCGCAUGGUCUCGUACCGGCGACGUAUCUUUCAAGUGUCUGCCUUAUCAACUGUCGAUGGUAGGUUAUGCGCCUACCAUGGUUGUAACGGGUAACGGGGAAUUAGGGUUCGAUUCCGGAGAGGGAGCCUGAGAAACGGCUACCACAUCCAAGGAAGGCAGCAGGCGCGCAAAUUACCCACUCCCGGCACGGGGAGGUAGUGACGAAAAAUAACGAUGCUAAACUCAUACGAGGCUUAGCAAUCGGAAUGAGUACACUUUAAAUCCUUUAACGAGGAUCUAUUGGAGGGCAAGUCUGGUGCCAGCAGCCGCGGUAAUUCCAGCUCCAAUAGCGUAUAUUAAUGUUGUUGCGGUUAAAAAGCUCGUAGUUGGAUCUCGGUUUCGGGCGGGUGGUGCACCUUGCGGUGUUUACUGUCUGCCCGGACGAUUUUGCUAGUUCGUUCAUGGUGCUCUUAACCGGGUGCCUUG
RNAcentral lists this ribosomal RNA (715 nucleotides) under Collembola sp. Col_T1. Its description in RNAcentral is "SSU rRNA". It matches the Rfam family "Eukaryotic small subunit ribosomal RNA", at positions 21 to 759 of the family's 1831-position model. The record is from RNAcentral. Lineage: Eukaryota; Metazoa; Arthropoda; Collembola.